This 465-nucleotide ribosomal RNA is filed under the name Vreelandella stevensii. RNAcentral describes it as "partial 16S ribosomal RNA". It matches the Rfam family "Bacterial small subunit ribosomal RNA", at positions 338 to 795 of the family's 1533-position model. Lineage: Bacteria; Pseudomonadati; Pseudomonadota; Gammaproteobacteria; Oceanospirillales; Halomonadaceae. The record is from RNAcentral.
CCUACGGGGGGCAGCAGUGGGGAAUAUUGGACAAUGGGGGGAACCCUGAUCCAGCCAUGCCGCGUGUGUGAAGAAGGCCCUCGGGUUGUAAAGCACUUUCAGUGAGGAAGAACGCCUGGUGGUUAAUACCCAUCAGGAAAGACAUCACUCACAGAAGAAGCACCGGCUAACUCCGUGCCAGCAGCCGCGGUAAUACGGAGGGUGCGAGCGUUAAUCGGAAUUACUGGGCGUAAAGCGCGCGUAGGUGGCUUGAUAAGCCGGUUGUGAAAGCCCCGGGCUCAACCUGGGAACGGCAUCCGGAACUGUCAAGCUAGAGUGCAGGAGAGGAAGGUAGAAUUCCCGGUGUAGCGGUGAAAUGCGUAGAGAUCGGGAGGAAUACCAGUGGCGAAGGCGGCCUUCCGGACUGACACUGACACUGAGGUGCGAAAGCGUGGGUAGCAAACAGGAUUAGAUACCCCUGUAGUC